UGAGUCAGCCAGGCGGCCGCGUCGGUGAGGCCCCCGGGCCCCACCGCCGAGGAACGUCCGGGCUCCGUAGGGCAGGGUGGUGGGUAACACCCACCCGGGGUGACCCGCGGGACAGUGCCACAGAGAACAGACCGCCCCGACGUGCCGGUUCGCCGGCCCGGCCGGGGUAAGGGUGAAACGGUGGUGCAAGAGACCACCAGCGCACCGGGUGACCGGUGCGGCUCGGCAAACCCCACCCGGAGCAAGACCAGACAGGGAGCGUUCGAGGGCGGCCCGCCCGAGCUCCCGGGUAGGUCGCUGGAGGCGUGCGGCAACGUACGUCGUAGAUGGAUGGCCGCCACCCGUGCGUGGGCGACCGCGCACGGGGACAGAACCCGGCGUACCGGCUGACUCAUCCG
RNAcentral lists this RNase P RNA (398 nucleotides) under Cellulomonas sp. PSBB021. Its description in RNAcentral is "RNase P RNA component class A". It matches the Rfam family "Bacterial RNase P class A". Rfam says of the family: Ribonuclease P (RNase P) is a ubiquitous endoribonuclease, found in archaea, bacteria and eukarya as well as chloroplasts and mitochondria. Its best characterised activity is the generation of mature 5'-ends of tRNAs by cleaving the 5'-leader elements of precursor-tRNAs. Lineage: Bacteria; Bacillati; Actinomycetota; Actinomycetes; Micrococcales; Cellulomonadaceae. The record is from RNAcentral.